This 86-nucleotide transfer RNA is filed under the name Acetobacter aceti. RNAcentral describes it as "tRNA-Leu". It matches the Rfam family "tRNA". From Rfam's summary of the family: Transfer RNA (tRNA) molecules are approximately 80 nucleotides in length. The record is from RNAcentral. RNAcentral also lists the same sequence under 13 other names. Lineage: Bacteria; Pseudomonadati; Pseudomonadota; Alphaproteobacteria; Acetobacterales; Acetobacteraceae.
GCGGCCGUGGCGGAAUGGUAGACGCGCAAGCUUGAGGUGCUUGUGGGGGAAACCCUGUGGAAGUUCGAGUCUUCUCGGCCGCACCA